GAGCUCUUUGUGAACUCCUGGAUUGGUCUCCACUGCUCUGCCCCUGAUCGCUGAGUGUCCAGUCAGAUCUCAUCCUAUCUAGGAUAUCUUUGAGAAAUAAACAGAUCACCACCCACAUCUCAGAGUAACCGGUAUUUUUUUUUUUUCAGAUUCAAGUUAUCUUUUAUUUCAGAACACCUUAAUUUCUUUUUUUUUUUUUAAGAGUAACCAGUAUUAACCAACGAAUGGAGCACACAUCUGAACAGCAUGACAAAAGUUCAGUGGAUACAAGACCUUGAUGUAAGAGCUCUCUUCUUUUUCUGAAGCGAGCAUUGCUAGAAAUUUCCCUCUUGGCACUGCUUUGACUGAAUCUCAUAAGUUUUGAUGUAAUCGGAAGGACGGAGAGCAAAUUGACGAGGACGAUCCUCUCUCACCGCGUGCCUGCAGAUGCCGCGUCAGCAGCCACUUGCCUUGGUGACUACCUUCGGGUGAGCUCCACACAUGUGGCUCAAGAAAGGCUCCGUGCCCACGAGGUGGAAAAGCAAGCGUCUAGUCUGAGAGAAGACUGUUCCGGGGCCACAUCGCUCUCUGUGAAACGCGCCUGCCGUGCUCCCCAGAGACCUCACAGACCAGAGCACAGCUGCACGCUGCUGUCAGAGAGACCCUCAGGCUGCCGUGUGCAAACAGAGGCUCCAGCCCACAGGCGGACAACUGAACCGCCCUUCUUCAGGCCUCCCGUGGGAAGGUGCACACCUGCCCCACCUUCAUCCACACAAUUCCACUUACAAAGCCACUGUGGCAUUUGGCCCCUGGUUCUGUCCACCUAGUGCGUGGUGCCCCGCAGAAGCCACAAAGGAGUCCGCAGGCCCCACCGCGCCGGGGCAGGGUAAUUGCAGGGCCCGCCACCGGGAGCCCUGGCGUUGCAUUCCUGGUGAUGCCAGGGAAACCCAGGGAAGAAGCAGGAGGCUUCCGAGGGGGCCAGAUCCUGGAAGCCACCUGUGAGGAGGGUGGGCGCGGCCGGCCCAGGUGUGCCCCACGCGGGAGCGCACCCUCGCCUGCACCGUCACCACAUGGACAGGGUGAGACAGAGACCAGGCUGGCUGCAGGCCUGGCCCAACUGCUCUGAAGUCUGUGCCCAGGGGGCAUCCCUGUGCGGUCAGUGCUAGGCCACGUAGCUGGCCGUGCCUGUCCUUCUGAGCCCAGAGGUUCACUGUCUCUUGAUUUCUGUGAAGGACCCUGAAUCUGAAAUAAAAAUCUCUGCCUACGAGCCUGGCGGCUCA
Long non-coding RNA from Talpa occidentalis (Iberian mole), 1259 nucleotides. RefSeq lists it as uncharacterized. The transcript has 3 exons. NCBI's taxonomy places the organism in Eukaryota, Metazoa, Chordata, Mammalia, Eulipotyphla, Talpidae. The record is from RefSeq and is a predicted model, not a curated record.